RNAcentral lists this transfer RNA (84 nucleotides) under Rhodospirillaceae bacterium. Its description in RNAcentral is "tRNA-Leu". It matches the Rfam family "tRNA". From Rfam's summary of the family: Transfer RNA (tRNA) molecules are approximately 80 nucleotides in length. Their secondary structure includes four short double-helical elements and three loops (D, anti-codon, and T loops). Further hydrogen bonds mediate the characteristic L-shaped molecular structure. tRNAs have two regions of fundamental functional importance: the anti-codon, which is responsible for specific mRNA codon recognition, and the 3' end, to which the tRNAs corresponding amino acid is attached (by aminoacyl-tRNA synthetases). tRNAs cope with the degeneracy of the genetic code in two manners: having more than one tRNA (with a specific anti-codon) for a particular amino acid; and 'wobble' base-pairing, i.e. permitting non-standard base-pairing at the 3rd anti-codon position. RNAcentral also lists the same sequence under 3 other names. Lineage: Bacteria; Pseudomonadati; Pseudomonadota; Alphaproteobacteria; Rhodospirillales; Rhodospirillaceae. The record is from RNAcentral.
GCCGGGGUGGUGAAAUCGGUAAACACAGGGGACUUAAAAUCCCCCGGGCUUCGGCCCUUGCGGGUUCAAGUCCCGCCCUCGGCA